RNAcentral lists this ribosomal RNA (406 nucleotides) under uncultured bacterium. Its description in RNAcentral is "partial 16S ribosomal RNA". It matches the Rfam family "Bacterial small subunit ribosomal RNA", at positions 28 to 526 of the family's 1533-position model. The record is from RNAcentral.
GACGAACGCUGGCGGCGCGCUUAACACAUGCAAGUCGAGCGAAGCGGCGGACGGGUGAGUAACACGUGAGUAACCUGCCUUAGACAUUGGGAUAGCCUCGGGAAACCGGGAUUAAUACCAAAUGGUCUAAUGGGGAGUGGCGUCCCAUUAGCUAGUUGGUGGGUAACGGCCCACCAAGGCGAGGAUGGGUAGACGGCCUGAGAGGGGGAAUGGACACAUUGAAACUGAGAAACGGUCCAAACUCUACGGGAGGCAGCAGUGGGGAAUAGUGCACAAUGGAGGGAACUCUGAUGCAGCGACGCCGCUUGAACGAAGAAGGCUUUCGAGUCGUAAAGUUCUUUUAUAUGGGAAGCGGUACCAUAAGAAAAAGCCCCGGCUAACUACGUGCCAGCAGCCGCGGUAAUUC